Peromyscus californicus insignis is the source of this 2281-nucleotide long non-coding RNA. RefSeq lists it as uncharacterized. The transcript has 3 exons. Lineage: Eukaryota; Metazoa; Chordata; Mammalia; Rodentia; Cricetidae. The record is from RefSeq and is a predicted model, not a curated record.
AGGACCGUUCUUUUCGGCAUCUGGUCUGAGCUUGUAAGAAGCAGCUGUCUCCCUUCACGGCUUUAGAAAAGUCUGGAAGCAGGAAAUGAGAAAGACACCUAAGAAACCAUGGAGCCGACGUUUAAAGUCCACCUCAAACUAAGUUGGAAAGACACAUCCGGGGGAAGUGGCUCCAGCAGGAUUCUAACUUCAAAGGAGGCUCUUGUGGCAGAUAAUUUGGAGAAACCUUGCUCUGAAGGAGACACAGUACAUUUGCUGCUUGCUAGCUGCCUAUGACCCCGGCCAUGGAUGGUGUUGUCCACAUUCAAGGUGCGUCCCACCCCAGUUAAACAUCACACACAUGCCCAGAGUUGUCUUCUAGUGAUUCAAAUCCGGGCAAACUAACAAUGAAGACUGAUCAUCAAGAAGGGAAUGGAGGAAACUAACUAUGAACAACAGCCUCAUCUUUGGGAAUAGCAUCUCUGCUGUGCCACAGCCACAAUGUUCUGCCUCACCACAGAUCAUCAGCGCCGAGUGACAAGGCAAUGAAAUUGAAACCAUGCUCCAAAUAAAUCUUUCCCCUCUAAACUGUUUUCCCUAAGUAUUUUGUCACAGCAACCAGAAGCUCACACAGUGAGCCAGUCUGUGAUAGGUUGUUACAGCCCUCAAAAGACCCCAGUGAAAUUAAAGAGACGGGAAAAUAUUUUAGCAGAGGCUUUAUGGAAGAAGGCCCAGUGAGUACAUGCAAAUCAACGCCAUGGUGAGAAACUGCCACACUUCUCUUGGAACAUCUAGAGAGGGAAGAAAACGUGAUGGUACCAGAGUGGCUGAGAACACGGAGCACCUAAAAGUCUUCUACUGCUAGUGGACAUGCAAAAUGGCACUGGAAUUUUGGCAUGAAAUUUAGUAGUUUCUUAUCAAGUUAGCUGUGUACUCUCAGGUGACAGAACUCCUCCUUAGAGGUGUUUACCCAAACGAUACGGAAGCCUGUGAUCACACAAAAGCCAAACACACAAAUGUUUACACAGCUUCUAUCGUCUUGCCCCAAACUGGAAAGAAGCCCAAAAGCCCUCAGCUGGGAAGAGCUAAAUAUAUGAGGUCAUUUUAAUGUAGUCUUGUACUUUAUCUGUGGGACAAUCAGUUAAGUUUCAUUUCUGAAGGCACUCUCAGCUGUUCAGACAGCUGGAAUAUGACCUCCACAUCUGGAAGGACUAUGUCCUGAGAACACUGACUACCCUAGAAAGGUCUGAAGGGAGAUUUGAUUUGUUGAAAAGACACUGACCACAGGGAGCCAUCUCUCUGAGAUUUAGUCUAAUGCAAUUCCAGAGACGAUGACGGUCCAUGAAGUGGUGGUUCAUAGCAAGUCUAUCUUGGCCCCUCGUCGCAUUUGAAGCAUCCCACAAGCCUUGGUAUGAAAUGAACAGAGAACGUGGCAAUAGCCACAGCUAUGAAAGUAUUCAGGAAGAGAAGUGACAGCCACAAGCCGGGAAUGCCGCAGCAAAGUCGGAUGCACACGUUGGGGAGGCGAUGAGUCAGAUUCCUCUCCACUGCUCACUCCCCUGCUGACUGUGGAGCUCGUACUGGGUUCUAAUGCUGACUCUGGAGUGGAACUCACUACUCCUCUUCAAAACUUGCUCCAGACAGAUUUUCUCAUAGUCUUAUUGGGAAGGAAGGAAACUAAACGUUUUGUUCUUGUCCUCCUGAUGUUUUUCAUGUGUGUGCCUAGUCCUUGGAAUACAAGGGACUCUAAGAGAUGGAGAGGGUAGCUUGGAUAACUUAAGCAGGACUUCACAAAUGCUACCCAGGUCCUCUCAUGCCCAAAUCCUGUCAGUGGAAUAAAGUAGCUACCAGCUGAGAUGUCAUAGGCCAGAAACGAUGCCAACCAAAAUUGACAUCAGGCUGAGCAUGGUGGCACAUGCUCAUAAUCCCAGAACUCUGAAGGCUAAGGCAGAAGAUCACUGGUUCAAGGCCAGCUUAGGCUAACAAACUGAGAACAUCUCUGAAAGCCAAAAGAGAGAAGAAAGAAAAGAUCACAUCUUAGUGAACAAAUCAAAAUAUUCUGAGUGCUUUAAGAGUGGGGCAGCGGAAGUUGACGGACGUUGUUAGAGAUCAAGGGAGGGAACCGAAGCAAUAGUACAGAGGGAGAAAUCAUACAGUGGAGGGAAAUGAAGGUAGAGGUGAUCAUUUUCACUGUGUCCGUGUAUGAAAUUCUCUAGAAUAAAAUGUUGACAAAGAGACGAGUGGAAGGGGGAGAAAGAAGAGAUUAUGGGAAGGCGAAUACGGUCAAAGCACUUGGAGGAAA